RNAcentral lists this ribosomal RNA (243 nucleotides) under Clostridioides difficile. RNAcentral's name for it is "partial 23S ribosomal RNA". It matches the Rfam family "Bacterial large subunit ribosomal RNA", at positions 150 to 395 of the family's 2925-position model. The record is from RNAcentral. Lineage: Bacteria; Bacillati; Bacillota; Clostridia; Peptostreptococcales; Peptostreptococcaceae.
UCAUUAAGUGAAUACAUAGCUUAAUGAGGGGAACUCAGGGAACUGAAACAUCUAAGUACCUGAAGGAAGAGAAAGAAAUUCGAUUCCGUAAGUAGCGGCGAGCGAACGCGGAUUAGCCCAAACCAAUAAAGUUUUCUGUAUUGGGGUUGCGGACAUAUCAUAACGAAGAGGUAUCGUAAUUGAAGAGGUUUGGAAAGACCCACCACAGAAGGUAAUAGUCCUGUAUGUUAAACGAGAAGACUU